Chinchilla lanigera (long-tailed chinchilla) is the source of this 383-nucleotide long non-coding RNA. RefSeq lists it as uncharacterized. The transcript is spliced from 3 exons. The record is from RefSeq and is a predicted model, not a curated record. NCBI's taxonomy places the organism in Eukaryota, Metazoa, Chordata, Mammalia, Rodentia, Chinchillidae.
GUGAGGCACAGAGCAAUAAACAUAGCGAGCCAAUUUCCAGGACGGCAAGAGGGGGCACUGGAGGUGACAACAAUGACAAGCCCGUGCUGCUGACAAGUUUUAGAUUCCCAGGCUGAUGGAGCAAGUGAUGAAAUGGGUUACCAACUGUAGUUCCUCCCGUCAGCGCGGAAUGCUGCAGGGAAUGUAUUCAGACAUGCCCAGAGAAGUCUGCCCAAGGUCAAAUUAAUACCUUGGAGGUUUAAAUCAGAAACUACACGAUUAUUGUUGCUAUAUUUUGUUAGAGAGGAAGGAGAGGCUAUUUCUACAGGUGUCAUGAAAAAUCAAUACUGAGCCACGGAUUAUUGGAUCCUAUAGAACCAUGGAGACACGGCAGUGAAAUUCUU